CAAGACACUAUGCAUAGUGCAUAUCAUU
RNAcentral lists this non-coding RNA (28 nucleotides) under Rattus norvegicus (Norway rat). Lineage: Eukaryota; Metazoa; Chordata; Mammalia; Rodentia; Muridae. The record is from RNAcentral.